CAGCCGCCGCGGUAAUACCGGCGGCCCGAGUGGCGGUCACUAUUAUUGGGCUUAAAGCGUCCGUAGCCGGGUUGGGAAGUCCUCCGGGAAAUCUGGCCGCUUAACGGUCAGAAUGCCGGAGGAUACUCCCAGCCUAGGGAGCGGGAGAGGCCGAGGGUAUUCCCGGAGCAGGGGUGAAAUCCUAUAAUCCCGGGAGGACCACCUGUGGCGAAGGCGCUCGGCUGGAACGCGUCCGACGGUGAGGGACGAAGGCCAGGGGAGCAAACCGGAUUAGAUACCCGGGUAGUCCUGGCUGUAAACGAUGCGGACUUUGUGUCGGACAAGCUAUGAGCUUGUCCGGUGCCGGAGGGAAACCGUUAAGUCCGCCGCCUGGGGAGUACGGCCGCAAGGCUGAAACUUAAAGGAAUUGGCGGG
RNAcentral lists this ribosomal RNA (414 nucleotides) under uncultured microorganism. RNAcentral describes it as "bacterial SSU rRNA". It matches the Rfam family "Archaeal small subunit ribosomal RNA", at positions 459 to 872 of the family's 1478-position model. The record is from RNAcentral.